GACGAACGCUGGCGGCGUGCUUAACACAUGCAAGUCGAACGGAAAGGCCCUGCUUUUGUGGGGUGCUCGAGUGGCAAACGGGUGUGUAACACGUGAGUAACCUGCCCUAGACUUUGGGAUAACUUCAGGAAACUGGGGCUAAUACCGGAUAGGAGCUCCUGCUGCAUGGUGGGGGUUGGAAAGUUUCGGCGGUGGGGGAUGGACUCGCCGCUUAUCAGCUUGUUGGUGGGGUAGUGGUUUACCAAGGCCUUGACGGGUCGCCGGCCUGAGGGGGAGGCCGGCCUCGUGGGGACGGAGAUGCGGCCCCGACUACUAGGGGAGGCAGCGGGGAGGAUUGUUGCACGAUGGGCGGAAGGCUGAUGCAGCAACGCCUCGUGGGGGAUGACGGCCUUCGGGUUGUAACCCGCUUUCGCCUGUGACGAAGCGUGAGUGACGGUAAUGGGUGAAGAAGCACCGGCUAACUACGUG
This 468-nucleotide ribosomal RNA is filed under the name uncultured bacterium. RNAcentral describes it as "partial 16S ribosomal RNA". It matches the Rfam family "Bacterial small subunit ribosomal RNA", at positions 28 to 507 of the family's 1533-position model. The record is from RNAcentral.